RNAcentral lists this long non-coding RNA (1010 nucleotides) under Homo sapiens (human). RNAcentral describes it as "long intergenic non-protein coding RNA 343". Lineage: Eukaryota; Metazoa; Chordata; Mammalia; Primates; Hominidae. The record is from RNAcentral.
GGAAGGCAGUUAGGCUGCAGUGAAUUCUACAAAGAGGCUAUGGGAAAGAAACCUGGAAAGGUAGGGAGUACCCUUGGCUGUGUACAUUUGAGUAAAGAGAGCACUAUAAAAUCAAAAACCAAUGAAAUGGUUUCCAGAACACAGAACUAUUAAGCUUAAGAAAAGGACAGAAGGAACUGAAGAGAGAGGAACUGUUUUGGAGCAUCACACUUCCACCUCAGAAGAAAUAAGGAAGGAAGGAGGAGGGUGUUCCCACGGCUCUUCAACCAGGCCGGCUCUUCAGCCUACAUCCCCAUCUCAUCAAGUAAAAGGGAUUUUUCAACUGGACCAACCAGAUGGUUUAACAGUGCACUCCCACACCAUUCAACUACGCAAGGGAGAUACACUUAACAUAUGCAGUCGUAUAACACCUACUAACAUUUUCAAACAUUAAACCUUUAAAAAAGAGUUCUAAAGAAAUAGAAGCUUGAAGUAUCAUCUCUCAAGUAUAUAGACACUACUUCAUGGUGUGGUAAUAUAUGCAUAUAGAAGCUAGUAAACACCUCCAGGAGAUGCAAAAGGAAUUAGAACUGCCACAAGGUGCAAGCAAAACCUUGAGGUGAGAAAAUCGAAUUUGGACACCGUUGAGGAGACUAUUGCAGUCAUCCAAGCUCAAGAUGGUGGAGCUUCAUCCUUGAGAAUAACCAAUGGGGAUAGAUUUAAGAGACACUUAGAGUCUGCAGCCAACAGGGCUGAAUGAGCAGAGAGUUAUGAUUCAGAAGAUCAUCUAAAAUUGAACAGCUGCCACUACUGGCAAUAAGUCUACUGCCAUUUGGUAGAUAACCUUCUUAUCACACAGAAAAAUAUCAGUACAGACAAAUAGACCGCAAAGAAAAUGAGACCAUCAGCAAAGAAGAUAAAGAAGUUUGUACAAAGCAACUUUUUAUAAAUGGAUGGCUGUCAGGCAAAAAUAAAUUUCCUGUGGACAAGACCAAGAGCAAGGCAAGAGGAAAAUAAACAUGUUUAAACUA